AACGGCGUAGUUUAAUUUAAGAUAGUUGUUUUGCGUACAUCAGAUGGGUGCUCCUCGCUGUUA
This 63-nucleotide transfer RNA is filed under the name Capsaloides cristatus. Its description in RNAcentral is "tRNA-Ala". Lineage: Eukaryota; Metazoa; Platyhelminthes; Monogenea; Capsalidea; Capsalidae. The record is from RNAcentral.